This 502-nucleotide ribosomal RNA is filed under the name Phialocephala cf. fortinii GK-2010. RNAcentral describes it as "eukaryotic LSU rRNA". The stretch from base 156 to 309 matches the Rfam family "5.8S ribosomal RNA". Lineage: Eukaryota; Fungi; Ascomycota; Leotiomycetes; Helotiales; Mollisiaceae. The record is from RNAcentral.
UUGGAAACAGCGGUUAGGAGCUUACACCCACCCGUGUCUACAUACUAUUGUUGCUUUGGCGGGCCGUGGCCUCCACUGCGGGCUCUGCUCGUGUGUGCCCGCCAGAGAACCAAACUCUGAAUGUUAGUGAUGUCUGAGUACUAUCUAAUAGUUAAAACUUUCAACAACGGAUCUCUUGGUUCUGGCAUCGAUGAAGAACGCAGCGAAAUGCGAUAAGUAAUGUGAAUUGCAGAAUUCAGUGAAUCAUCGAAUCUUUGAACGCACAUUGCGCCCUGUGGUAUUCCGCAGGGCAUGCCUGUUCGAGCGUCAUUUAACCACUCACGCCUAGCGUGGUAUUGGGGCACGCGGUCUCCGCGGCCCUCAAAAUUAGUGGCGGCGCCGGUGGGCUCUAAGCGUAGUACAUACUCCCGCUAUAGAGUUCCCCCGGUGGCUCGCCAGAACCCCCAAUUUUUACAGGUUGACCUCGGAUCAGGUAGGGAUACCCGCUGAACUUAAGCAUAUC